RNAcentral lists this ribosomal RNA (997 nucleotides) under Neocamarosporium calvescens. RNAcentral describes it as "SSU rRNA". It matches the Rfam family "Eukaryotic small subunit ribosomal RNA", at positions 95 to 1102 of the family's 1831-position model. Lineage: Eukaryota; Fungi; Ascomycota; Dothideomycetes; Neocamarosporiaceae. The record is from RNAcentral.
GGCUCAUUAAAUCAGUUAUCGUUUAUUUGAUAGUACCUUACUACUUGGAUAACCGUGGUAAUUCUAGAGCUAAUACAUGCUGAAAACCCCGACUUCGGAAGGGGUGUAUUUAUUAGAUAAAAAACCAACGCCCUUCGGGGCUUCUUGGUGAUUCAUAAUAACUUUACGGAUCGCAUGGCCUUGCGCCGGCGACGGUUCAUUCAAAUUUCUGCCCUAUCAACUUUCGAUGGUAAGGUAUUGGCUUACCAUGGUUUCAACGGGUAACGGGGAAUUAGGGUUCGAUUCCGGAGAGGGAGCCUGAGAAACGGCUACCACAUCCAAGGAAGGCAGCAGGCGCGCAAAUUACCCAAUCCCGACACGGGGAGGUAGUGACAAUAAAUACUGAUACAGGGCUCUUUUGGGUCUUGUAAUUGGAAUGAGUACAAUUUAAACCUCUUAACGAGGAACAAUUGGAGGGCAAGUCUGGUGCCAGCAGCCGCGGUAAUUCCAGCUCCAAUAGCGUAUAUUAAAGUUGUUGCAGUUAAAAAGCUCGUAGUUGAAACUUGGGUCUGGCUGGCAGGUCCGCCUCACCGCGUGUACUUGUCCGGCCGGGCCUUCCUUCUGGAGAACCUCAUGCCCUUCACUGGGCGUGUUGGGGACCAGGACUUUUACUUUGAAAAAAUUAGAGUGUUCAAAGCAGGCCUUUGCUCGAAUACGUUAGCAUGGAAUAAUAGAAUAGGACGUGCGUUCCUAUUUUGUUGGUUUCUAGGAACGCCGUAAUGAUUAAUAGGGACAGUCGGGGGCAUCAGUAUUCAAUUGUCAGAGGUGAAAUUCUUGGAUUUAUUGAAGACUAACUACUGCGAAAGCAUUUGCCAAGGAUGUUUUCAUUAAUCAGUGAACGAAAGUUAGGGGAUCGAAGACGAUCAGAUACCGUCGUAGUCUUAACCGUAAACUAUGCCGACUAGGGAUCGGGCGAUGUUCUUUUUCUGACUCGCUCGGCACCUUACGAGAAAUCAAA